Hydra vulgaris (swiftwater hydra) is the source of this 1055-nucleotide long non-coding RNA. RefSeq lists it as uncharacterized. The record is from RefSeq and is a predicted model, not a curated record. Lineage: Eukaryota; Metazoa; Cnidaria; Hydrozoa; Anthoathecata; Hydridae.
GGCGGAUAAAAUUCAGAAAAGGGAGGACAGAAAGGUAGAAAAAAUGUUAAAAAGUUGCAUGCCCGAUCAGGUAAAAGAAAUGUUUCCUGACCUAGAAAAUAACAUGCCUCAGAUAUUGAAGAAAUUCUUAUUGGAGCUGCUAUUGGAAGAAGUAUUUGCCACAUGUGGUUCGAUAAUGCCAAUAACACCAAUGAGGUAUAUUACGGCAGAAUUGUUAGCAUUAAAAAGAAGAACAAUGAUAUAUAUAUAUAUCGUUUCUUAUUGGAAACCAAAAGAAAAUGAAGAUGAUGACGGUGUUGAGUAUGAUAUGAGCAAAUAUCAACUUUCUGCAGACAUAAUAAGCGGUGAUAUGGUGAUAACAUAACAGAAUUGUGUAAUAAUAAGGUAGUCGGGUAAUUACCGACAUCUAACAACCAGGGUUGACCUGGUUGCAACGUGUUAUGGGAAACCAAAGCUCAUUUACUUUUUGACAUAAGCAAAUUGCUUGGCUUAUGACAAUUAAUGUUUAUCAUUGAUGUUUAUCAUUAUCAAUGAUGGCAAUGCAUUUUUCUAUCAAGUAUAACAGAGUUUCGCUUGCGUGGAUUGAGAGAUGUUAAACAGUAUUGAAGGGUCGGCUAUCGAUUUUUUUGUUUGGUAAUGGGAAGUUUGUUGUGUAUCAGGAGUUAAGUGAUUUUGAAUUUUUUAACUUAAUAAAUCAUUCUCAUAUUUAGUAAUCUCUAAUGGGUUUUUCAGUUAUGGGGCUAAAUAUCUAAUGCAUUUUCAUUUAUUUUUUAUUGCAAGGUUUUAACAAUAAUGGCAAUUUGCUACUGUGGAUAUUUAUGUUAAAGACCUCAAGAUUAUAUUUAUUAAUUCAGUUAAACAACAUGAUGAAAACUACGUGGUUGCUUCAGUGGAUGUUGAUCUUUUUCAUAUCAAGAUUAAACCGAUAUUAUUGGAUGUGGUUUCCUUUGCGUACUAAAGAAUCGACUCUUUCUAUCUAUGGAUGUCAAAGUUUUGUUUGCUUCAAAAUCUAGGCUUUUUUCAAAGCCACAAUUCUGUUAAAAACAUUACUGAGC